RNAcentral lists this long non-coding RNA (402 nucleotides) under Androctonus crassicauda. The record is from RNAcentral. Lineage: Eukaryota; Metazoa; Arthropoda; Arachnida; Scorpiones; Buthidae.
GUCCAACUAGAGAUGUUGACCAGCCUAUGUUAGGCUCUAAAAGUGGUCUUCUUCUUCUUCUUCUUCUUCUUUCUAUUUUUAUGGAGGGUAUAGCCUCCGCUUUUUCCUCCGAGAUGCUAUCUGUGAUAUUUAUAGGCGGUGUGUAGCUUGAAUAUACUGUUCCAAGGCUUGUAUAUAUGUGCUGAUAUGAUCGGUGUUUUGUGGCCAGUAGAGUGUUGCCAGGUUUGUGAUCGUUGUGACGUCAAUCCCUAUCUUUGUGCCCAAACGGACUCGAUAGGGGGCAAAUUUUUUGCAUUCUAUCCAGAAGUGGAAAAGAGUUUCGUGGGUAUUGCAAUAUGGGCAGUUUGGUGUGAGACUCAAUUUACGAGAAUGGAGAAAGGAAUUCAGACAGGUGUUAGUUCG